RNAcentral lists this ribosomal RNA (301 nucleotides) under uncultured bacterium. Its description in RNAcentral is "partial 16S ribosomal RNA". It matches the Rfam family "Bacterial small subunit ribosomal RNA", at positions 509 to 807 of the family's 1533-position model. The record is from RNAcentral.
CAGUAGCCGCGGUAAUACCGAGGGUGCAAGCGUUAAUCGGAAUUACUGGGCGUAAAGCGCGCGUAGGUGGUUUGUUAAGUUGAAUGUGAAAUCCCCGGGCUCAACCUGGGAACUGCAUCCAAAACUGGCAAGCUAGAGUAGGGCAGAGGGUGGUGGAAUUUCCUGUGUAGCGGUGAAAUGCGUAGAUAUAGGAAGGAACACCAGUGGCGAAGGCGACCACCUGGGCUCAUACUGACACUGAGGUGCGAAAGCGUGGGGAGCAAACAGGAUUAGAUACCCGAGUAGUCCCUGUCUCUUAUAC